AAAUUGAAGAGUUUGAUCAUGGCUCAGAUUGAACGCUGGCGGCAGGCCUAACACAUGCAAGUCGAACGGUAACAGGAAGCAGCUUGCUGCUUCGCUGACGAGUGGCGGACGGGUGAGUAAUGUCUGGGAAACUGCCUGAUGGAGGGGGAUAACUACUGGAAACGGUGGCUAAUACCGCAUAACGUCGCAAGACCAAAGAGGGGGACCUUCGGGCCUCUUGCCAUCAGAUGUGCCCAGAUGGGAUUAGCUAGUUGGUGAGGUAACGGCUCACCAAGGCGACGAUCCCUAGCUGGUCUGAGAGGAUGACCAGCCACACUGGAACUGAGACACGGUCCAGACUCCUACGGGAGGCAGCAGUGGGGAAUAUUGCACAAUGGGCGCAAG
This 384-nucleotide ribosomal RNA is filed under the name Salmonella enterica. Its description in RNAcentral is "bacterial SSU rRNA". It matches the Rfam family "Bacterial small subunit ribosomal RNA", at positions 1 to 381 of the family's 1533-position model. RNAcentral also lists the same sequence under 2 other names. Lineage: Bacteria; Pseudomonadati; Pseudomonadota; Gammaproteobacteria; Enterobacterales; Enterobacteriaceae. The record is from RNAcentral.